UGCGGGAUGGUGUAAAGGUAGCACCGAUGACUCUGACUCAUCUUGUGAGGGUUCGAAUCCUUCUCCCGCAGCCA
Molecule: transfer RNA, 74 nt
Filed under: Oscillospiraceae bacterium
Lineage: Bacteria; Bacillati; Bacillota; Clostridia; Eubacteriales; Oscillospiraceae
Description: tRNA-Gln
Rfam family: tRNA
About the family: Transfer RNA (tRNA) molecules are approximately 80 nucleotides in length. Their secondary structure includes four short double-helical elements and three loops (D, anti-codon, and T loops).
Source: RNAcentral